This 503-nucleotide ribosomal RNA is filed under the name uncultured bacterium. RNAcentral's name for it is "partial 16S ribosomal RNA". It matches the Rfam family "Bacterial small subunit ribosomal RNA", at positions 30 to 523 of the family's 1533-position model. The record is from RNAcentral.
AUUGAACGCUGGCGGCAGGCUUAACACAUGCAAGUCGAGCGGGGUGAUGGUGCUUGCACUAUCACUUAGCGGCGGACGGGUGAGUAAUGCUUAGGAAUCUGCCUAUUAGUGGGGGACAACAUCUCGAAAGGGAUGCUAAUACCGCAUACGUCCUACGGGAGAAAGCAGGGGAUCACUUGUGAUCUUGCGCUAAUAGACGAGCGUAGGUCGGAUUAGCCAGUGGGUGGGGUAAAGGCCUACCAAGGCGACGAUCUGUAGCGGGUCUGGGAGGAUGAUCCGCCACACUGGGACUGAGACACGGCCCAGACUCCUACGGGAGGCAGCAGUGGGGAAUAUUGGACAAUGGGGGGAACCCUGAUCCAGCCAUGCCGCGUGUGUGAAGAAGGCCUUAUGGUUGUAAAGCACUUUAAGCGAGGAGGAGGCUCUUUUGGUUAAUACCCAAGAUGAGUGGACGUUACUCGCAGAAUAAGCACCGGCUAACUCCGUGCCAGCCGCCGCCGUAA